Pecten maximus is the source of this 4217-nucleotide long non-coding RNA. RefSeq lists it as uncharacterized. The transcript is spliced from 4 exons. NCBI's taxonomy places the organism in Eukaryota, Metazoa, Mollusca, Bivalvia, Pectinida, Pectinidae. The record is from RefSeq and is a predicted model, not a curated record.
AAGCAAUUACAUUUGUAUUUGAUAUUUUCAUUUAAUCUACAACAGCAUAGCUUGUCUCCCGAUUGUUUAUCAAUAAAUAAUUUAUAUAUAUAUAACUUGGUAAAGUUUUGAACAUUGUCGGCAGCUAAAUUACCACAAGCAUAUUAAAUCAUUUCAUCAUGGUAAAAUUUGCUUGGCUGUCAAAUUGAUCAAAUUUUAUUGAUUUUUUGGAACUUGAAAGCUUCGUAAUAUUUUAUUUGAUAAUGAUAUCAAAAUUGCCUGUUAUGUUGAGGUUUAAUUAAGUUAUAUAUUUAGAUUUUUACUGUAUUAAUUAUGUUUAACAUUUUAGUAUGGGAAUGUGCAAUGAAAGUUUGAUAUAAACGUUGAUUUAAAUGUCAUUAAUAAACAGUAUUGUCAAUAUUGUUCUAAAAUCUCAAAUAUAUAUUUAUGUUUAAAAAUGUGAUUAAAUUGACAUUGUGUCCGUCCUAUUUCACCUAUCCUGAGACUCUCCUCUUUUCUGCCUCCAUGAAUUUUGAAAGUGUCUAUACCUUGUUUUGUGGGAAAAUAUGGCAAUGCCUUGCCAAUAUAAAAAUGAAAUAUUUUGGUCUUUUUGAAAAAAUUUUAUGUAUGGGAGAAAGUUGGGAGUUCAAUCAUGAUUUAGGAAAACUAUUUUUUGUAUGUUAGGUAAUACAUUUAUUUGACGAAUUACAUUAGAUGUCAUAAAUAUUUCCUUAACAAAGCAUUGGCUAUACUGUGUAUUAAUGUAAAUGUUUAGAGUGGAAAAAUGCACGGCCAAACCGGGGUUCAAACCCGGGACCUCCGAAACACUAGCCGGACACACAACGGUUCAAACUACUCGACACAAAAAAAAUGUAUUUUGAAUACUGCAUAUUAUCUUUUAUUAAGUAAAAACACUUUAUGCUCUUUAGGUUUCGGCGAAAUAUGGUUCUGUCAAUCACAAAAUAACUCACCUUGUAUACGACAAAGAAUUAUUGACCAAGCCCAACAGUAUUUGAGAGAUGCAUUAGAAAAGUCCUCGAAAUGUGUUUUAUAUACACAUAUUGUGGAUAAUUUUUCUAUUCAGUUUUAUUUAACUAAGUAUAUACCUAUGAAAUUCAGAAUAUGUUUAUCUAAACUACGCAUGUCUGCGCAUUCCUUAGCAAUUGAAACUGGCCGCUUUAACAAUAUUGAUCGAAAUUUGAGACACUGUUUAAUUUGUAAAUCAACGACUGAGAUAGAAGAUGAAUACCAUUUUGUAUUAAUAUGUAAUAAGUAUACCAAUUUAAGAAGACGCCUCAUUAAGAAAUACUAUUGGCAAAAGCCUUCAAUGUUCAAAUUAAUACAGUUAUUAAGUGUACAAAAUAUUAAAGAAUUAUGUCGCUGAGGCAAAUUUAUAUUUGAAGCAAACAAGAUCUGAUCUUUAUAUCUUUAAUCCGUACUCCUCUUUGUAUUUGUACUGUAGCAUUGCUGUUCUAUGCCAUUAUCAUGUAUUGUUUUGUUUAUAAUAUGUACUUAUGGGCCGUACGGCCUACAGUCAAUAAAGAAUUUUAAUUUGAGUGUUAAUGAAGUACUGAUCGAUACUAAGUUAAUUAUAGUUUAUACACAGUCAUACUAUGGUCAUUAAUUAUUUUGAAAAAUCCCCCAUCCACACUCUCUCCUUGUGAAAUCAAGCCUUGUACUGUUCUUAGCUACAUGUACAUGUUCUUCAAGUCUUUUCCUCAUAUUUGGUAAUUCUUUAUUAAGAAUACAAAUGUAUUAAAGAAUAUCCAAAUUUUCAUUCUCAAUUUUUGAUAUUUUUUUAGGAAGUGCAUUUUUAGAGAUGUGAAUAUAUUGAUGCUGUAAUUAAUUAUGAUGUUGAAUACAGUCACGUAAAAUGUCAUAAUAUGACUUUUUUUUUUGUCAUACACUUAAGUGAAUUUUCUCUGUAAUAGUCUUUGUAGUCUGUAUGUUUCGGAGUUUGAAACCUGUCAGCUCUGUCAGUAUCAGGCCUAACUACAUCCUAGUGCAUUUUAUACACUCUCUUACAUUCUUACAUUAAGACAUAAUAUCACACACACAUUUCUUGUGUAGACAUGUCAAACAGAAUUUAUAUAUCACAGUCACUUCAUAUUUUUUUAAUCAUUUUUUAUUCAUUUUAAUUCUUUUACAAGACAUACAAUAACAUACAUACAUGUAUAUACAUUAGGGGAAGCAUUACAUACAAUAUAUACUUUACAUCAACAUUACAUUCUCCCUGGUGGUAUAAAAUAAUAUAUUACGAUAUACAAAAUGUAUUUGGUUAACUUCAUGAAGCAGUUGAAUUUAUUAUUAAAGUAUAUACUGACUUUAUCUUUGAUUGAAACGUAGAAUAGCAAAGAAUGUAAUAGACUGGAAUAAUAUAUUUUCAUAAAACAUUGAUUUAUUGUCAAUAUCUGUCCAUUUUUGGAAUUCUUGUAUUUGUUUGUUGGUAUCAGAUAUAUUUUUACUCUAUGGGUGCCAUUUUAUGCUUUUGUAUUAAGAUUUUCAUUAAGAUAAACAUACAUCAGACCUGUGAUAAUGGAAUGAUACAUGUUUAAAAACCUGUAAGUGACAGCCAUGUACCAUGUUACUAGUUACAGCCAGGUGUUGUGUUACUAGUUAAAGCCAGGUACCGUGUUACUUGUUAAAGCCAGGUACCAUGUUACUAGUUAAAGCCAGGUACCAUGUUACUAGUUAAAGCCAGGUACCAUGUUACUAGUUAAAGCCAGGUACCAUGUUACUAGUUAAAGCCAGGUACCAUGUUACAGCCAGGUACCGUGUUACUAGUUAAAGCCAGGUACCGUGUUACUAGUUAAAGCCAGGUACCGUGUUACUAGUUAAAGCCAGGUACCAUGUUACUAGUUAAAGCCAGGUACCGUGUUACUAGUUAAAGCCAGGUACCAUGUUACUAGUUAAAGCCAGGUACCAUGUUACAGCCAGGUACCGUGUUACUAGUUAAAGCCAGGUACCAUGUUACUAGUUAAAGCCAGGUACCGUGUUACUUGUGAAAACCAGGUACCAUGUUACUAGUUAAAGCCAGGUACCAUGUUACUAGUUAAAGCCAGGUAUCAUGUUACUAGUUAAAGCCAGGUACCGUGUUACUUGUUAAAGCCAGGUACCAUGUUACUUGUUAAAGCCAGGUACCAUGUUACGUGUUAAAGCCAGGUACCAUGUUACUAGUUAAAGCCAGGUACCAUGUUACUAGUUAAAGCCAGGUACCAUGUUACUUGUUAAAGCCAGGUACCAUGUUACUAGUUAAAGCCAGAUACCAUGUUACUAGUUAAAGCCAGGUACCAUGUUACAGCCAGGUACCAUGUUACUAGUUAAAGCCAGGUACCAUGUUACUAGUUAAAGCCAGGUACCAUGUUACUUGUUAAAGCCAGGUACCAUGUUACUAGUUAAAGCCAGGUACCAUGUUACAGCCAGGUACCAUGUUACUAGUUAAAGCCAUGUACCAUGUUACUAGUUACAGCCAGGUGUUGUGUUACUAGUUAAAGCCAGGUACUGUGUUACUAGUUAAAGCCAGGUACCAUGUUACUAGUUAAAGCCAGGUACCCUGUUACUAGUUACAGCCAUGUACCGUGUUACUUGUUACAGCCAUGUACCAUGUUACUAGUUAAAGCCAGGUACCAUGUUACUAGUUAAAGCCAGGUACCAUGUUACUAGUUAAAGCCAGGUACCGUGUUACUAGUUAAAGCCAUGUACCAUGUUACUAGUUAAAGCCAGGUACCAUGUUACUAGUAAAAGCCAGGUACCGUGUUACUAGUUAAAGCCAGGUACCAUGUUACUAGUUAAAGCCAGGUACCAUGUUACUUGUGAAAGCCAGGUACCAUGUUACUAGUUAAAGCCAGGUAUCAUGUUACUAGUUAAAGCCAGGUACCAUGUUACUAGUUAAAGCCAGGUACCAUGUUACUAGUUAAAGCCAGGUACCAUGUUACUUGUGAAAGCCAGGUACCAUGUUACUUAUUAAAGCCAGGUACCAUGUUACUUGUGAAAGCCAGGUACCAUAUUACUUGUUUAUGGCAAUAAGAUAUGUUUAAAUAAAAUUCAGAUUAAUAAAAUCUUGUACAUCAUGAGAAAUGAAAAAUAUAAUUGUUGUCAUCGUUUUUAAAACCCCACUUGGCAUGGAAAUGUGUCCUUGAAGACAACAGUUAUUGCUUGCAUCAUCACUAAUUUGAGCGACAACUCUCUGCUACAAUACGUCAGAUUUUUACAGUCUUUCAAUAAAAACUUCUUCAGUC